Molecule: unclassified non-coding RNA, 87 nt
Filed under: Pseudomonas fluorescens
Lineage: Bacteria; Pseudomonadati; Pseudomonadota; Gammaproteobacteria; Pseudomonadales; Pseudomonadaceae
Source: RNAcentral
GUGGGAGGGGGCUUGCUCCCGAUAGCGGGGUAUCAGCGAACUAUUCAGUGGCUGAUACACCUUAAUCGGGAGCAAGCCCCCUCCCAC